GGCGCACUUAAGCCACGCGCCUAGCGCGUUCAGCCCCGCGCCGAGCAGCGCCGUGAGGCGCAGGCCGCGGGCGUCCAGCAGCCAGGUGGCGGGCAGGAUGAGCGGCACGUAGGCCACCAUGUACACCAUGGAGAGCCAGUCUAUCUCCGUGAAGGACACGCUGUAGAAGUGGACGAAGACGUUGCUGAGGAUGCUGUACUGGAUCCACUGGAAAGCGUUCACCAGAGAGUAGCAGCUGAACACGGCCAGCACCGCAAGCCGCCGCCGCGACAGCCGCGUCUCCACCCGCCCGCCGCCCGCCGUGCAUCCUCCGGGGCCGCCGUUCUCCGCUUCCUUGCCGGGGAGGAAGCCGUUGUGCUGCGGGGCUCCCAGCAUCUCCCCUCUCUCUCCCUCCGCCUCCCCCUCCUCUUCCUCGCUGCCGUCCUCCACCAUCUCGGCCGUCUCCCCGCCCAGCUUCCCGGCAGCGGCGGCCUCAGCCUGGCUCUACCGGCGCUCAGCGUCCCACGAGGUCACCGCUCCGCCGCCGGGCGGAAAGCAGCUUCGGGCACCCGGCAUGACCUUGCAGUCCAUCCAGUGACAACAUUUAUCCCUACAGACAUAGGAAUGAGGCUUUGUUCUCCUCCCAUUCUUCUUUUCCCUGCUGUUACACUAUUGACUCUGUAGCAGUGCUGGUGGAUAUGCUCUGAGUAAGGUUCAAGGUCAGCCUGUUCUAGAGUUGCAGAUGUGUCUGACUUUCCACUUUCACAGCAAACAGACAGCAUCCUCUUUGCAUGACAACACACAAAGCUUCACUUGCUUUCUACACGGGAAUCCCACACAGAAGAAAUAACCGAACACCUUUCUCAAAAUGAUGUCUGAGGCAGUGAAAAAAGCACCUGGUUGCAAUGGACGUGACAAGGCAGUGCAGACGCUUGGUAUGAAGGAGAAGAGGCAUGGCCUGGCUGGAGGGAUAUGUUUCCCUCAAAGCAGGGAGAAGGCUUCACAACCAUUACUUGUGAUUUACAUCGCUUUGUAUGAGAAGAGGGCCAAGGACGUUGUUGAACAGCAGGAGAAAGUUAUCCUGUGAGAAACAGCCAUGGAGGGAGCUCACUUAAAAUGUGCAUCCUUGGAGUUCUGUGUUUCAUGGAUAAUUUAUGAAGGUAAAAACAGAAGACUUAUGUCAAGGUUUGCAGGACAAAUUUAGCUUACAACUGCUGCUUAACUAUUUCAAUCUAGCCUCUCAUCCAAAAUCUGUUCCUGUUACUAUAAUAUAUUGUCAAUUGAAAAAGUGAUGUAUUUUCAUAACUAUUUCCACAACUGUGCCAUCUGUGGAUGAAACAUCAUUAAGAAGGUGUCCUUUUAUUUCAGUUUGGAGCAUGUAACAAAAUAAAGUCAGCUAUAUAGUGCUGCUUUCAAGGUGUAAUUAGCUUCCUAACACCCCUAGCUAGGUUAUUUCAGCUGUAUUAAUUCCUAGUCACAUUCUUUUUCCAAACCUUUCAACAGCAUCUAAGUCUUCCACCUAGAAAUCCACAGGUGUAUCUAUCUAGGUGAAACUUGAGCCUGAGGGUAGGAAUCUUAAAUGAACAUUUCACUGGGAUUGGGACCAUAGAAUGUUGCCAAAACACCAACACUUCUUCAAAAAUAAAACUGGCAUUUUUGCGUGCACCUGGCACACAGUUCAGAUUUCCAGGAUUUUCUGUUUGCAAUGUUUCAAACCGUGUCAGUCCUUACUGUCAAGAAUUUAAAUGUUAUUUUAUAAGGCACUCAAGUCCCGGUUACGCUGAUCUCAGUGCAGGGACAGUCUCCAUUGAAGAAAUGCACCGUGUUCUUCAGACCCCCAGAAAUAAAUAAAUAAAAACCCAACAGCAGCUUAAGAAAGUGAUUUCAGAACAAAAGAUCUGAAGUUCCAGCUGAGCUGGAAAUGAACUAUUUUAGCAAGGUAUUAAACAAACCCCAGUAAGCUGGACUUGAAAUAAAGUGGUCAAAGAGUUGCAUGUUUAAAUUUCUUCAUUGAAAGCUGUUAAGAGAAUACAGGGAAAAUGUAAACAUCCUCUUCCUCCUAUACAGUCCUCAUUCCAGCGACAUUCCCUGCUCUCCCCACAACAUAAAGCCUUAACCUCUCACAGAAUGAGCAUCUGCAAUACAAAGCACUUAACUGAAGUUUGCUCAUAGAUUAACUCCAGGUGCUUGUCUGGGCACCUUCAUUUUGGAACAUAACUGCCCAUAGUAGGGAUGUUUGUCUGUGACCUGUAUGCAAUUUUUUUUAUACUGGCAGGCACACAGAUGUAUGCCCUUACUUAAGCAUCAGAGAAAAGUUCUAUAUUUUGAGAUAUGGGGAGUGAUAAGUGAGCAGGGUACUCUUCUGUAAGUAAUGUUAGAAAUUAGCAUUCUGAGAUGUCUCCAGCCACACAAAAGAUGCAGAAAUGUACAUCUGCUGCUUCUGUUGUGCUGCCAUCUGGUUUUCCUUUUGUAGUCAGCUGUCAGUCUGUAACACGUAACAGAAUUUCUCUCCUGAGUUUCCAAGCAAGUGGGGAAAAUAUGUUACGUACACAGAAUUUGUGUUUUAAAUAAAUUAAUUAAUAGAUAAAUAAAUAGUGAACAAAUCCAGUAGGUAAAAUGUGCUCGGAUCUUAUUCAGCAUGGGUAAGAGCUUCUUCAUCUAUCAUAAAAAGUGUAACCUCCAUCUGAAUCCUUUAUAAACAGUAAGCAACAACACACUGCCCAUGUUCACAACAAUUAAUAAAAGUCAUGAGAUGCAGAGGGUGCCUUUAAGGAACAUUCUCAUUUACAACAAGUACUCAUUCAUCCAAACAGUGGUUAACUUUCGGGAAGAGCCUCAAAGCACUUUUUGUUGUCACUGCACAAACUCUUCCCCUCAUACUCUGUUCUCUGCGGCAACGUGCUGCCAGACAGUCUCAAUCUCAAGUUCUUCUGUGAGAGAGAUGAAAUGACAUCAGCCUCACUUAGCAAAGGCCUGUGGGACAGAAGUGAUUGGAAAAGCCACGUUAACAUUAAGGAAAAAACGCCGAGUGUCAGCCAGCUUCGGUAGGAUGUUGAACAACUGGCCAAUGAAAGCACCAUUCAAAGGAACAAGGAUAAAACAUCACCUUUGCUUCUAGGAGGUCUCAGAUAACUUGAGAGCUGCAGCAAUUUAAUGUGCAAUACUUGUGAAAAAAACACCAUGGCAGGACUUCAGUUUCACAACCCUCUUUUACUAUCUGCUUCAUCGCAACCAUUUGCACACUCUUUAAAAAUUAGAUGGAAGGGAAAUGUGGGUUUGGAUCUACUAAGAGCCAAGUAUGGAAAUGCAUUUGUAUUAUAAAGACAUUGCUCACCCGAUCUUGAGAAAUGUCGUUACUUUUACUAUUGAGGAAACCCAAAUAUUUACUAACAGCUUGAAGUUCCCAAUUUCUCUCUGAAGAAAUUAUCAGCAGGAAGAGAGCCAUGUUUCUUAAUGGCCUACAUCUAUUCCAUAGGGAAGACGUUGGCUGACCUCAGCAUAACUAAAAAUCAGAGGGGUUUUUUUUUGUGUAGAGUUGAAUAAAAAAAAAACAAUGCCUGCCCAAGCCCCUGGCUGUGAGAGCACAUUAUGGAAAAUGCAAUAACAUUCCUGCAGCCUACACCACUUGAAUAGGAGGAACUCGGCCAUCCAGACACCAAAAGGGACUUUUUCUGCUCCUUUGUUGGGAAAGCACUGCAAGCAUUCUUCAAAGACCCCUUCAGACAGCUCUCUUUAUAGUACGCCCAACAACAUUCAGACUGUUUCAGAUCAGCCACAAAGCCAGAACAUCUCAGGGAAAAUUCUCCCUUUUACUAUGGGGGAGAUAAUUCAGUGUUCUCCAAGGUGUUGAUGAACGCAUUCACUGGUAUGCUUUACUGGAGCAGCUAUCACAUCAUCUCAGCCCAAAAGCUGGCAUGCUGACUUACAAAUUAUUUAUCUUUUCAAAUCCCUGUGGCUCUUCUCAUAUGAAAUAAUAAGACCAAGCCAGUAAAAAAAGAAAAUAUUGUGCUACAUUGCACUAAGGCUUUUCAGUGCAUUGAGUUUAGAGAGAACACAGGAAGAGAGUUUUAAAGGGGCGUAAGUAAGGGGAUUGAUCUAUCUGUUUUUGACUGAAUCUAUUUGUUUGGACCAAGGGAAGGACCCAUUGCUUGGACGCAUUCUCCAACAUGGAAUCUGUUUAAUUAAUUUCUGGUGCUGCCAAGAAAACAAAAUAAGGCAGAAUAGCACACAACAAGGUCAAUCUCACUACAGCCAUCAAUAUAGCAACAUUCAAAACAGGAACCAGAUCCGCCAGAGUGGCAUUCAGACUGUUUAAGCUUCUGGAGAUAAUCCUGUAUUUCCAAUGAACUGCAAAUACAGGCUAAACAGAGCAUUUAUGUCCCUUAAGACCUCAGACAGUGCAAAUGGAUGGCAGCUUUUAGAAACCCUAGGAGAGGAGCGAAGAGGAAAUAACUUAGGUCCCGAGAAUAACUUUUGAUUGCUUACUUCUCUUCACAGGCAGUAGAACUUGGGCUCCUUGGAGCUAUGCAUGGGACGAAAGCUGUGUUGGAUGUCAGCAAGCAGAUUCACAGAACUCAUGAAAAGCCAUAAGUUACUCGAACACACUGGUGAGAGAAAACCCUGGCCAGCCCCAGCUGGGCUGGUGGCUUGGGUGCACCAUGCUCAGCAACAUCCCCGGGUGCCUGCUCACUGUCACCUUCUUUUCUUCCUCACUGCACAGUCAGCAACUCUCACGGUAGUGCAGCUUUUCCCAGGGUACAUGUCUGGGUGCUGGAAGCAGCAGUAUUUCAGUGGAUAGUGGUGAAGGUCAAAAAGUUCAGACUCUCAUUUCAAAGCACUUAAAAACAACAGCCUGUGGGAGGCUCAGCUCCAAGCUGCUACAUGACGCCUUGCUCAAAUCCCAGCAUCUCAUUUUCACUCCAAAGAAAAACGGGUCUGCAGGGAGUCUGCACUGAUACCACUGAUAUUUUCCAUGGACUGUAAGUCACCUCUGGUCAUCCACAGCCUCCCCAUCAAUCACUUCUCCUUCUGCAUUGAUUCAGAUAUUGGAGAAUGAUAGCUGGAAGAUAAAGCAGAAGGCCAAACCUCAUGCAAUCUAAUUAUAGUGUGCUGAAACGGCUUCCAGGAACUCUGCGAGGACAGAUACCCUGAUCAUGCCACGUAAUGGCUAGAAGGAAAGUAAAGAUAACAGCCAGGUACGUCCCCUUCCAGGGAAGUAGCAAAGGUUCACACGUUGUGAUUACACUGGUACCAGACCAACACCAAGUAGCACCACCAGCCCAGUGCCGGAGAGCUUCCUGAGCAGAGAGCCACAUGUCUGGGCAGAGAUGCAGACACCAGUCUGUCAGCAGAGGCAGUGGGUACACAUCUCGGAGAUCAGUUCCAAAGUUGUGCCUAAGCCUGUGUCCUGCACACACUGCUAAAUAAAAUGAGGAACAAUACUGACCUUCCCCCACAAGGGAAGCAAUCAUUUGCUGGCUGAACGAGAGCACACCUUUUUGCUCAAUGCAAACCCAUGCCUUCAAAAAGCAGAGCGUGUCACUGAGCAAGUUCAUUGUUUUUAUAUUAAUUACUUAAUUACUCCAGGAGAACAGCACUAUCCUGCAGUGAUUUCCCAGACCAAACAUGGACAGCUGUGCCUUUCCACAGAUCCUGAUCUCUAUUUUUUUAACACUUUUAGCAGCAUAAGACACAUCAGAAGCCAGGUGAAAAGGUAUUUUCACACCUCCCUUUACAAUGACUCACUCCUGAUGCUGUUCUGAUCAGGCUCCUAUGGCUGGAUGGCUAUGACACAGCCCCACCUUUGCAGCUGUUAUGCCAGGUCCAAAGGGUAUACAAGUAAUAGCUGGCAGUAAGCCGUAUGAGGACACCUCCAUCCUGAAUCACCCUCUCUCGAUCACUCAGAGUGGCUUUAUGGCCAGAUCACAUGGACAGCACAUGACGAAGCAGUUCUGAUCUCUGAUUUUCUCCAAAUAGUUAUUUUCUGCUGGUCACCACAGGCCAGAUGCUAUUUCCUUCUUGCUCCUAUUUGCAUCUAUCUGAAGUUUAAGAGAAUCUUUUGAAAUGCUGUACUAAAUUUUGUUUGUUUUUAUUGUUAGUGCUCCUGGCACCUGUGUAGGUAUAGUUGUGACCCUCCCCCAUGUGUAUGAACUGCACUCAGCAUGCUUAUUUACAGUCACGCAGCUCAUGUAUAAAAACAAGGGAAAUAUGA
Gallus gallus (chicken) is the source of this 6190-nucleotide long non-coding RNA. RefSeq lists it as uncharacterized. The record is from RefSeq and is a predicted model, not a curated record. The transcript has 2 exons. NCBI's taxonomy places the organism in Eukaryota, Metazoa, Chordata, Aves, Galliformes, Phasianidae.